Molecule: long non-coding RNA, 2006 nt
Organism: Oreochromis niloticus (Nile tilapia)
Lineage: Eukaryota; Metazoa; Chordata; Actinopteri; Cichliformes; Cichlidae
Exons: 2
Source: RefSeq, a predicted model, not a curated record
CAUGUGCUCAAAAACUGAAAGUUAAUUUGACAUAUUUUAAGAACUGUUGAGGAACGCGCUAACUUUUUAGAUGAUGCACAUGAAAGCACACUGUGUUGGUCAGGUGGAGUAUUUAAAAGGGUGCUUUUUUAAAAACACCAGAUCACGUUGAGAUGUCAACAGCCUUCGAGUGUCCCGAUAAGAAGGAAAGUAGGUGGCUAAUGUUUGACAGGACUGUUGUGAUGAAGGAUCAAAGGUCCCAGUCUGUUUUUCUGUCACAGCCUCUUUCAUACUUGAGAGGGAUUUCUGUCUGGGAGAGAGCGUAUUUCAUGAGGGCACCACGUCAUCUUCAUCAUCGUGAUGGAACUGGCCUUUUAUCCGGCGCUGGCACUGAUGUAUUUCUUUGGAGUGAUGAAGGCCGCGCAGGAUGACCGGGUGGAGCUGACCGACCACGCGUCGAUGAACGUGUUCUGUCUGUUCGUGCUGGCACAGCCGCUGUGUCUCGUAAUCGGUGGAUACACCGGCAUGGCUACUUACCUUCUCACAUCUCUGAUAUCCUACAACUUCCUGCCAUGGAAAAGCAGCACAAAAAAGCAAGCAAAAGAAAAAGACUCAGAGAAGAAGACAAAGUGAGAGCCAGAAACAUACAUUACAUGGAAAUAUCAAGAAAGUGGAUUCAAAAGGGGACUGGAGAGUAUUUAAAUUAAGAAAAAAAUAUAAAUAAAUAGCGAUUUCACAAGACAUUAUCAGUGAUUUAACCUGUUGUCAUAAAUGUGUUGUUUUGUCUGCAGUUGUCACGAUCUGUGAGAAAGUAUCUUAUCCUUUCUUUUUUCCAUUUUCUUACAACAUUACAGAUAAAUAGAGAGCCAUAAAGGUACCUUUGGACUGAUUCGACCUAGCUCUUUAUGCUAAGAAUCCAUAACAAGCCAGCUAACAACUUGCCUCAGGUAUUAAUGAUGGUGGAGCUCAGGUUAGAGAUCCUUUCCCCAGAUUAACUUAAAAUGUAUGCAAUAGGCAAAAGUUACAGCUAGGGUCAAAAAGUUCACAGCAACUUUAAUAAAUUGCCCAUCAUACUGAUUUCUCUGUGACUCUCAUGGAGUUAAGGAAACUGGCAGGAUGGCAAGUACUGUAGAUAUCAUGAACUUAACCCAUGGUUGGGUUUUUGGGACUUUUUCAGCUUUAUUGACAGACACAGUAAGAGGGAAGCAGAGGGAGAGCGUAAGAGGGGAAGACAUGUGGCAAAGGUCCGCGGGUCGGACGCUCUUGAGCAUGUGGUUAAAACUGAUUCAGUCAAUUACUCACUUUUUUUUUAUUUACCACAUUUUACAAGACUUAGUUGUUGGUUGUUGGAAGAAUUAACAGUGAAGUGCUCUAUUCUCAGCUGCACUGAAUACACCAGGUGCUGUCACAUCUCAGCCAAAUUAAAUAGUCAGAGGUCACAGUUACGCACUGCAGAUAAUUAUGGCGACAGGAGGAUAGCAUACUCUAAAAUAGUUUCAGGUCUUCAUCACAGCAAAGGGGAAAUCAUCAAAGGAGUUGGGGCUCAUCGUAAUGGUUUGAGGUAAUUGUUGUCUCACUGUAGAGGCACACUGUGGUCUCAGGACAGCAGCCACUAAGGGAAAUCAGAACCUGUGUGGAAUAGAUCUUCUUAUUCGACUCUUGGCAAGAAGUGUACUUCCCAAAAUGAAAAAUUGUUCCUUUAAACUGAGAAAAUGAUUCAGUGAACAUCUCCAAAUUAUAAUUACAUUGUUAAUGUCAUAAUAUGAAGCCAAUUAGCUCUGGACUGUAAAGUUUGUCAGUGACAAAAAAAGAAAGCGCUGGGUUUUUUCUUUUCACCUAUGACAGUGACACUGAAUGUGUCUCUGGCCUUAUAGCUGAGUCAUUUCUACUGAACCUGCCUACUUGAAUAUGACUAAUCUGUCAAUUAAUUAAGUAUUCAGUAUAUUAUACACUCAUGAACAGUGUUUCACAAAAGCUCCCACUAAACAUAAUUAUUAAAUCAGCAUUGUGCUUUUUCCAUCCGUGUU